GCAGUCGACGAACUCUGGUAUUGAUUGGUGCUUGCAUCAUGAUUUACAUUUGAGUGAGUGGCGAACUGGUGAGUAACACGUGGGAAACCUGCCCAGAAGCGGGGGAUAACACCUGGAAACAGAUGCUAAUACCGCAUAACAACUUGGACCGCAUGGUCCGAGUUUGAAAGAUGGCUUCGGCUAUCACUUUUGGAUGGUCCCGCGGCGUAUUAGCUAGAUGGUGGGGUAACGGCUCACCAUGGCAAUGAUACGUAGCCGACCUGAGAGGGUAAUCGGCCACAUUGGGACUGAGACACGGCCCAAACUCCUACGGGAGGCAGCAGUAGGGAAUCUUCCACAAUGGACGAAAGUCUGAUGGAGCAACGCCGCGUGAGUGAAGAAGGGUUUCGGCUCGUAAAACUCUGUUGUUAAAGAAGAACAUAUCUGAGAGUAACUGUUCAGGUAUUGACGGUAUUUAACCAGAAAGCCACGGCUAACUACGUGCCAGCAGCCGCGGUAAUACGUAGGUGGCAAGCGUUGUCCGGAUUUAUUGGGCGUAAAGCGAGCGCAGGCGGUUUUUUAAGUCUGAUGUGAAAGCCUUCGGCUCAACCGAAGAAGUGCAUCGGAAACUGGGAAACUUGAGUGCAGAAGAGGACAGUGGAACUCCAUGUGUAGCGGUGAAAUGCGUAGAUAUAUGGAAGAACACCAGUGGCGAAGGG
RNAcentral lists this ribosomal RNA (698 nucleotides) under Lactiplantibacillus pentosus. Its description in RNAcentral is "bacterial SSU rRNA". It matches the Rfam family "Bacterial small subunit ribosomal RNA", at positions 57 to 722 of the family's 1533-position model. The record is from RNAcentral. Lineage: Bacteria; Bacillati; Bacillota; Bacilli; Lactobacillales; Lactobacillaceae.